GAUGAAGAACGCAGCGAAAUGCGAUAAGUAAUGUGAAUUGCAGAAUUCAGUGAAUCAUCGAAUCUUUGAUCGCACAUUGCGCCCGCCAGUAUUCUGGCGGGCAUGCCUGUUCGAGCGUCAUUACAACCCUCAGGCCCCCGGGCCUGGCGUUGGGGAUCGGCGGAGCCCCCCGUGGGCACACGCCGUCCCCCAAAUGCAGUGGCGGUCCCGCCGCAGCUUCCAUCGCGUAGUAGCUAACACCUCGCGACUGGAGAGCGGCGCGGCCACGCCGUAAAACACCCAACUCUUCUGAAGUUGACCUCGAAUCAGGUAGGAAUACCCGCUGAACUUAAGCAUAUCAAUAAGCGGAGGA
This 352-nucleotide unclassified non-coding RNA is filed under the name soil metagenome. RNAcentral's name for it is "partial contains 5.8S ribosomal RNA, internal transcribed spacer 2, and large subunit ribosomal RNA". The stretch from base 1 to 120 matches the Rfam family "5.8S ribosomal RNA", at positions 35 to 154 of the family's 154-position model. The record is from RNAcentral.